This 610-nucleotide ribosomal RNA is filed under the name uncultured Tomentella. Its description in RNAcentral is "eukaryotic LSU rRNA". The stretch from base 181 to 335 matches the Rfam family "5.8S ribosomal RNA". The record is from RNAcentral. Lineage: Eukaryota; Fungi; Basidiomycota; Agaricomycetes; Thelephorales; Thelephoraceae.
GUUGCUGGUCCUCAAGCGGGGGCAUGUGCACGCUCUGUUAACACAUCCACUCACACCCUGUGCACCCUCUGUAGUUCUGUGNUUGGGGGACCCAUCCUCCUGCUGUGGUUCUGCAUCUUUACACACACACACUGUAACAAAGUCUCAUGGAAUGCAUCUGCGUUUAACGCAAUACAAUACAACUUUCAGCAACGGAUCUCUUGGCUCUCGCAUCGAUGAAGAACGCAGCGAAAUGCGAUAAGUAAUGUGAAUUGCAGAAUUCAGUGAAUCAUCGAAUCUUUGAACGCACCUUGCGCCCUUUGGCCAUUCCGAAGGGCAUGCCUGUUUGAGUAUCAUGAACACCUCAACUCUUCAUGGUUUUCCGUGAUGAGCUUGGACUUUGGGGGUUUUGCUGGCCUACGGUCGGCUCCUCUAAAAUGAAUCAGCUUGCCAGUGUUUGGUGGGCAUCACAGGUGUGAUAACUAUCUACGCUUGUGGUUUUCCCACCAGGUAACCUUCAGCAGUGGANGUUCGCUGGAGCUCACAGAUGUCUCUCCUCAGUGAGGACAGCCCUUUGAAUGUUUGAUCUCAAAUCAGGUAGGACUACCCGCUGAACUUAAGCAUAUCAUUA